RNAcentral lists this ribosomal RNA (360 nucleotides) under Triticum aestivum (bread wheat). RNAcentral's name for it is "partial small subunit ribosomal RNA". Lineage: Eukaryota; Viridiplantae; Streptophyta; Magnoliopsida; Poales; Poaceae. The record is from RNAcentral.
AUGGCAUCCGGCGAGACAGGCGGCUCCCAAGCAGGGAAUGCAGCGGCGCUGGCCUCUCCUCUCCCUGUCUGCCGCUGUCCUGUGUCGUCACUGCCGCUGUUGUCCUGCGUCGUCACUGAUGUCCCCAAGUGCUUCUCUCCACAAAUGGUGCCACCAUGUCCAGAUCAAGUCAAGCGCCAGACAUAUGGAGGAAGAUUAGAUAGUAAUUCCCAUAUGAAUUUGAACGUACAAUUCAUAGACGUCCUUCAAUUGCAUUACAAUGAUGACAUGUUUGUUGUUGUUCAUAUUUCUGACAGGAAAAUAGAACACGUGCACUUAACUUGUUUGAGGAAAUUCCAUCUCGAAACAAGAUUUGAUUAG